UUGCAGCUAAUUAAGCCGACCGACUUUUGCUGUAAUCAGAAGCUGGUGUGCAAUGGCUGCAUACAGUAUGAUCCUUGGCUGUGUAUGCACUUUGCUGCCUAUGCAUAGUGCUUUAAGGGGCCUUGGAGACAUCG
Molecule: small nucleolar RNA, 134 nt
Organism: Rana temporaria (common frog)
Lineage: Eukaryota; Metazoa; Chordata; Amphibia; Anura; Ranidae
Product: small nucleolar RNA SNORA70
Exons: 1
Source: RefSeq, a predicted model, not a curated record